GUGAAUCAUCGAAUCUUUGAACGCAAAUUGCACUCUCCUCGGAGAGUAUGCCUGUUUGAGGGUCAGCCUAUAAAAAAUCGACAUCGUUGCUGUUUCGCGGUGGCGUUCGUCGGAAAUUGGGUUAUCUUAAAUCCUUUUGGUUUUUAAGCGACUUAAAAUUUUUUUGUUGGUUCGAUGAACGUUUCUAAGAUUUUUUUUUUUACACGUUUAAGUUAUCUAUUUUUAUUAGUGGUGACCAUCAUAUAGGAUGUCGUCCAUAAUCUUUUAUUA
This 270-nucleotide unclassified non-coding RNA is filed under the name Glomeraceae sp. RNAcentral's name for it is "partial contains 5.8S ribosomal RNA and internal transcribed spacer 2". The stretch from base 1 to 65 matches the Rfam family "5.8S ribosomal RNA", at positions 84 to 154 of the family's 154-position model. The record is from RNAcentral. Lineage: Eukaryota; Fungi; Glomeromycota; Glomeromycetes; Glomerales; Glomeraceae.